UACAGAGGGUGCAAGCGUUAAUCGGAUUUACUGGGCGUAAAGGGCGCGUAGGUGGUUAUUUAAGUGAGAUGUGAAAUCCCCGGGCUUAACCUGGGAACUGCAUCUUAUACUGGGUAACUGGAGUGCAAUAGAGGGUAGUGGAAUUUCCGGUGUAGCGGUGAAAUGCGUAGAUAUCGGAAGGAACACCAGUGGCGAAGGCGGCUACCUGGAUUGACACUGACACUGAGGCGCGAGAGCGUGGGGAGCAAACAGG
RNAcentral lists this ribosomal RNA (253 nucleotides) under uncultured bacterium. RNAcentral describes it as "partial 16S ribosomal RNA". It matches the Rfam family "Bacterial small subunit ribosomal RNA", at positions 524 to 776 of the family's 1533-position model. The record is from RNAcentral.